GCCACAUCUCAUGGCUUUCCUCAGCUGAUGGCAUCAUGGAUCCUGUACCUGAUAUGUGAACACCUGUAAUCAAGCCACCAAAUUUCCAGGUCACGUGACCAUGGCAACUGAGCAGACUCUAACAUGUGGCUGAAUAAUGCUUGGUAAAAACUAAAGACAGAACAACCCCUUCUGGUGUGAACAAAGUAUCUCUCUUUUGUCCUGGCUGCCUUGCUGGCUGGAAACCCAAAGUAUCCUCUCUGCCUCCAACCUGAGGACGCAUGAUGAACGUCUGAGGUAUUCAUUUAGCAUUUUCCGUGCGUGCCAGCAUGUGCUGUAGACUCAAAGGGUCGAGAUGCCUGCAGAGAGGAGGGAGGAAACAAAAGAAAUCAUCUGCAGAGAUCUUUUCUGUCCCACCAACCACAUCCCCCGCUAACGCCAGGAGACAUGAAACCCAUUAUCUUGAUGGGAUCAGGCAGCAUCCAUCUUAAUACUGGAUCGCAUAUGAUGACAAUGAUGAUCCUCGGAGCAACAUGCCACCAGCUCGAGAGCUUCCUGGUUGCAGGUUUGGAGCGAAUCCCAUGAGAAAAUUCUUUUUUUUUAAAAACCCACUUACAAAAAGGCUCGGCUUGUAUCUCAAUCUGGUUUAAUCCAACUGUGAAUUAUUAAUCAAACAAGAUCUGUGUGCCCGUGCGUCUGUCCAUCGACGCAUCCAUUUUUCAGCACCUGCAGGUCCCAAUCCUGUCAUUUCCUUAAUCAUAAUUUCAGUUAUUGCCCUGAUCUAAUGCACUAACUUUUAAUAAAUCAUACCAGUUGAAACAGCU
Molecule: long non-coding RNA, 803 nt
Organism: Micropterus salmoides (largemouth bass)
Lineage: Eukaryota; Metazoa; Chordata; Actinopteri; Centrarchiformes; Centrarchidae
Exons: 2
Source: RefSeq, a predicted model, not a curated record